Molecule: transfer RNA, 72 nt
Filed under: Penicillium oxalicum 114-2
Lineage: Eukaryota; Fungi; Ascomycota; Eurotiomycetes; Eurotiales; Aspergillaceae
Also listed under: 3 other names
Description: tRNA-Pro (AGG) (tRNA-Pro-AGG-1 1 to 5)
Rfam family: tRNA
About the family: Transfer RNA (tRNA) molecules are approximately 80 nucleotides in length. Their secondary structure includes four short double-helical elements and three loops (D, anti-codon, and T loops).
Source: RNAcentral
GCCCGGGUGGUCUAGUGGUAUGAUUCGCGCUUAGGGUGCGCGAGGUCCCCGGUUCGAUCCCGGGCUCGGGCC